Molecule: ribosomal RNA, 460 nt
Filed under: uncultured bacterium
Lineage: Bacteria
Description: partial 16S ribosomal RNA
Rfam family: Bacterial small subunit ribosomal RNA
Source: RNAcentral
CCUACGGGAGUCAGCAGUGAGGAAUAUUGGUCAAUGGGCGCUAGCCUGAACCAGCCAAGUAGCGUGAAGGAUGACGGCCCUAUGGGUUGUAAACUUCUUUUGCAUGGGAAUAAAGUGCGGUAUGUAAACUGCUUUCCAUGUACCUUAUGAAUAAGGAUCGGCUAACUCCAUGCCAGCAGCCGCGGUAAUACGGAGGGUCCGAGAGUUAUCCGGAUUUAUUGGGGUUAAAGGGAGGGUAGGCGGGUUGUUAAGUCAGUUGGGAAAGGUUGCGGCUCAACCGUAAAAUUGCAGUUGAUACUGGCAUCCUGGAGUACAGUAGAGGUAGGCGGAAUUCGUGGUGUAGCGGUGAAAUGCUUAGAGAUCGCGAAGAACUCCGAUUGCGAAGGCAGCCUGCUGGACUGUAACUGACGCUGAUGCUCGAAAGUGUGGGUAUCAAACAGGAUUAGAUACCCGAGUAGUC